Molecule: long non-coding RNA, 468 nt
Organism: Ostrea edulis (European flat oyster)
Lineage: Eukaryota; Metazoa; Mollusca; Bivalvia; Ostreida; Ostreidae
Exons: 2
Source: RefSeq, a predicted model, not a curated record
CCGAUGACAAAGGAAAAUCAAAGGACGUUGUUGGAAAUAUAUAAAAAUAGUAACGUCUUAUUCGAGAAUUUUUCACUCAUGAUGACGGGGACAGUCACGCUAUAUUUGGAUGUGAAUGCCAGAUGUAGGAUAACAGAGUUAACUUUUAAUCAUUGUUUGGAGGAUGUAUCCAUAUUCACAGAUUAAAAGUGAAGAUAACAGACAGUGAUCAAUCUCACAACUCCUGUAAGCGACCCCUGGACACCCCAGAGGUGGGAUCAAGUGCUUGGAAGGAGUAAACAUCCCUAGUCUUUCGGUGAUGCAGUGGAACAUGGGAUUCCUCGUUAGAUAUGCCCAAUAGAAGGGAGAGAACAUUAUAAUUCAUAUUUCGUGUAUUUACGAACUAUUUCUAGAAUGAACAAGAAACUAUCAAGGAUAUUAAUGGAGAUGAAAGUAAUGGGGUAACAAUAAAUACAUAUACAAACUCUC